AUUCCAGCUCCAAUAGCGUAUAUUAAAGUUGUUGCAGUUAAAAAGCUCGUAGUUGGAUUUCUGCCAGGGUGCCAAUGUCCGCCGAAGUGCGUGCGCAGCGGCGCCCUCGCAUCCUUCUGUUAACGCCUCUCGGCAUUUACUUGCCGGUGGUGGGCUCAGAUAAUUUACCUUGAGAAAAUUAGAGUGUUUCAGGCAGGCUAGGCCGGAAUACAUUAGCAUGGAAUAAUGGAAUAGGACUACGGUCUCGUUGUUGGUUUGAGGGACUGGAGUAAUGAAUAAUAGGGACAGUUGGGGGUAUUCGUAUUCCAUUGUCAGAGGUGAAAUUCUUGGAUUUAUGGAAGACGAACUACUGCGAAAGCAUUUACCAAGGAUGUUUUCAUCA
Molecule: ribosomal RNA, 382 nt
Filed under: Pseudotontonia sp.
Lineage: Eukaryota; Ciliophora; Spirotrichea; Tontoniidae
Description: partial small subunit ribosomal RNA
Rfam family: Eukaryotic small subunit ribosomal RNA
Source: RNAcentral